UACGGAGGAGGCAAGCGUUAUCCGGAAUUAUUGGGCGUAAAGCGUCCGCAGGUGGCGAUUCAAGUCUGCGGUCAAAGACUGGGGCUUAACCCUGGAAAGGCCGUGGAAACUGAAUAGCUAGAGUGCAGUAGAGGUAGAGGGAAUUCCCGGUGUAGCGGUGAAAUGCGUAGAGCUCGGGAAGAACAUCGGUGGCGAAAGCGCUCUGCUGGACUGCAACUGACACUCAGGGACGAAAGCUAGGGGAGCGAAUGGG
This 253-nucleotide ribosomal RNA is filed under the name uncultured bacterium. RNAcentral's name for it is "partial 16S ribosomal RNA". It matches the Rfam family "Bacterial small subunit ribosomal RNA", at positions 524 to 776 of the family's 1533-position model. The record is from RNAcentral.